AGCGAACGCUGGCGGCAGGCUUAACACAUGCAAGUCGAGCGGGCGUAGCAAUACGUCAGCGGCAGACGGAUGAGUAACGCGUGGGAACAUACCUUUUGGUUCGGAACAACACAGGGAAACUUGUGCUAAUACCGGAUAAGCCCUUACGGGGAAAGAUUUAUCGCCGAAAGAUUGGCCCGCGUCUGAUUAGCUAGUUGGUG
RNAcentral lists this ribosomal RNA (200 nucleotides) under uncultured bacterium. RNAcentral describes it as "partial 16S ribosomal RNA". It matches the Rfam family "Bacterial small subunit ribosomal RNA", at positions 29 to 254 of the family's 1533-position model. The record is from RNAcentral.